GGAGGGGUGGCCGAGCGGUUUAAGGCGCCAGUCUUGAAAACUGGAGACCCGCAAGGGUCCGUGAGUUCGAAUCUCACCCCCUCCGCCA
This 88-nucleotide transfer RNA is filed under the name Candidatus Muproteobacteria bacterium RBG_16_62_13. RNAcentral describes it as "tRNA-Ser". It matches the Rfam family "tRNA". Rfam says of the family: Transfer RNA (tRNA) molecules are approximately 80 nucleotides in length. Their secondary structure includes four short double-helical elements and three loops (D, anti-codon, and T loops). Further hydrogen bonds mediate the characteristic L-shaped molecular structure. tRNAs have two regions of fundamental functional importance: the anti-codon, which is responsible for specific mRNA codon recognition, and the 3' end, to which the tRNAs corresponding amino acid is attached (by aminoacyl-tRNA synthetases). tRNAs cope with the degeneracy of the genetic code in two manners: having more than one tRNA (with a specific anti-codon) for a particular amino acid; and 'wobble' base-pairing, i.e. permitting non-standard base-pairing at the 3rd anti-codon position. Lineage: Bacteria; Pseudomonadati; Pseudomonadota; Candidatus Muproteobacteria. The record is from RNAcentral.